This is a long non-coding RNA of Stegostoma tigrinum, 644 nucleotides long. RefSeq lists it as uncharacterized. The record is from RefSeq and is a predicted model, not a curated record. The transcript has 3 exons. Lineage: Eukaryota; Metazoa; Chordata; Chondrichthyes; Orectolobiformes; Stegostomatidae.
UGAGAGAGCGCUUAGUGAUUUAGUGAAACAUAAACCACUGCGUGACAUUGGGUACAUCAUUCGCAAACCUGAAGGGCAACUGCAGAAAAUAUAAGGGCUUUCUCUUUGGGGAAGGUAUCAUCACUCAGAGUCAUUGUCUUUGCUCAGUGGGACUGUGAAUUAGACAGAAAAACCGCAACAAAGACCGGGCGAUCGCACUCUGGUAACCCAGGCACUCAGACCUGAAUGAUCCUACUGUUGUUGUAGCACCACUGGGAAUGAUUAAGCACAGAGUAAGCCCAUUGCAGUGGCAGUGAGCUACCCCUGGGUCAGUGACUCUUAAAAACUACCAGGAGCCGCAAAUGUAACUGUUCACUUUUUUAAAAAAACAGUAACAGAGGAUAUGGAUGGCCUCCAGUUCUGGAUUGAAUAUCGUACACUCUCAUUAUAAGAUGUGUCAGCAUUACAAACAGAAAAGCAUUGACAAUUAUCAGCCCUGGCAUAUCUAGUGGCAUAUUAUGUAGCUGCUUCUGUCCAUGGCCAGGGCAUAUUUCAGGCCAUGUUUGUUUUGAAAAGGGUGAUUUUAACUCUUUCCCCAGACUGACUGUGCCAAAUCAGGGGGACAUCGCUGCCCAUGGCCACUGCUGAAUUCACUCAAACCACCA